This 481-nucleotide ribosomal RNA is filed under the name uncultured bacterium. RNAcentral describes it as "partial 16S ribosomal RNA". It matches the Rfam family "Bacterial small subunit ribosomal RNA", at positions 355 to 829 of the family's 1533-position model. The record is from RNAcentral.
UAGGGAAUCUUCGGCAAUGGGGGCAACCCUGACCGAGCAACGCCGCGUGAGUGAAGAAGGUUUUCGGAUCGUAAAGCUCUGUUGUAAGUCAAGAACGGGUGUGAGAGUGGAAAGUUCACACUGUGACGGUAGCUUACCAGAAAGGGACGGCUAACUACGUGCCAGCAGCCGCGGUAAUACGUAGGUCCCGAGCGUUGUCCGGAUUUAUUGGGCGUAAAGCGAGCGCGGCGGUUUGAUAAGUCUGAAGUUAAAGGCUGUGGCUCAACCAUAGUUCGCUUUGGAAACUGUCAAACUUGAGUGCAGAAGGGGAGAGUGGAAUUCCAUGUGUAGCGGUGAAAUGCGUAGAUAUAUGGAGGAACACGGUGGUGAAAAGCGGCUCUCUGGUCUGUAACUGACGCUGAGGCUCGAAAGCGUGGGGAGCGAACAGGAUUAGAUACCCUGGUAGUCCACGCCGUAAACGAUGAGUGCUAGGUGUUGGAUC